GCCCGCCUAGCUCAAUCGGAUAGAGCGUCAGACUUUUACAAUUGUAAAUCUGAAGGCUGCGAGUUCGACCCUCGCGGUGGGCU
This 83-nucleotide transfer RNA is filed under the name Laccaria bicolor S238N-H82. It matches the Rfam family "tRNA". Rfam says of the family: Transfer RNA (tRNA) molecules are approximately 80 nucleotides in length. Their secondary structure includes four short double-helical elements and three loops (D, anti-codon, and T loops). Lineage: Eukaryota; Fungi; Basidiomycota; Agaricomycetes; Agaricales; Hydnangiaceae. The record is from Rfam by way of RNAcentral.